Temnothorax curvispinosus is the source of this 1543-nucleotide long non-coding RNA. RefSeq lists it as uncharacterized. The transcript is spliced from 6 exons. The record is from RefSeq and is a predicted model, not a curated record. NCBI's taxonomy places the organism in Eukaryota, Metazoa, Arthropoda, Insecta, Hymenoptera, Formicidae.
AAUAUUUUUCAAAUGUUACUCUGACAUUUAUUUGAGAUCAAUGCAACAGUUUAAAGUACCUUGUAAUUUGGACUUGGAAAUAACGUUGGUAGUAUAUUAAUUUUCUGUUAUUAGAAUGUUAUUGUUUUAUAUUGUACGCAACGCUCAUCGCGACAGCCAUGAUGCGUACAUUUACGUAUGUACAAUGCGUGAGUGCGUAUACACGCGUGUGGAUCGAGCAGUGCGGAGUGCUCUUUAUUUAGAGUAUAUUUAUAUAUAACUGUUUGAACGCGUCGAGAUCAUGAGCAGACGCACGCUUGUCGCGACAGCCCAUCGGAAGCAGUAAUAGUUCUGGAGAUUGUAGUCGCAUUAUCUUACAUACGUAUGAUGCGUGAGUGUGUCAUAUAUACGUACGUUUGUGCUUGUGCUGUCGAGCGCUUUUAAUUGUAUACAACAUUUUUAUAUGAGUAGCUGGUGAUUCAAGAUCUAUUUUUUGACCUAUAUAAGAGAGAGAUUUGCAGAAGAAAAGAAAUAUACCAAAGUAUUAAGGAUCAAACAUAUUCUUGAUGUAUGUACUCGGGCCGCGAGACUGAGCAAUAUUCUAAGGAAAGUAUUAUACAAUUGUAUCGUUUUAUAUUGUGCGCAACGCUCAUCGCGACAGCCAUGAUGUACAUGAUUAUCUUACAUACGAUGCGUGAGUACGUAUACACGUGUGUCAAUCGAGGAGUGCAGAGUGCUCUUUAUUUACAGCAUAUUUAUAUAUAAGUAAUAAUUUAUAUUCUAAAAGUUGUAUAUUAAUGAUAAGAAUUCAUUUAACCAUACGUGCUAUAAUUAUUUAUUGUGCUAUGAAUAGUAGCUGGUGAUGUAGGAUUCAUUUUCCAAUUUACAAGAGAGAUUUACAAAAGAGAGGAAAUAUCAAUUAAUUUUUUUAUGUUCUAUAAUAGAUUUGUCCUUGGACAUUAAAAAUAUCAUCAAGGGCAAUAAAUAUGUCUUAACAUAUGGGAUCAAUUGUUGUAUCAAAUUCAAAAAACCACCAUUUGAAAAAUUUGACCCUGGCUAAGAUAAACAUCAGUGAACAAUAUAUUAUAAGGAAAACUCUGUACAAGAUACUAGAAAUGCUAAAACAUGAUCAAGAAGCUUUUACACAAGUUAGGCUAUUAGACAACAAUUCCUUGUAAUACAGAGAAAGACUUGGAACACUUUAUAAUGGAAUGGCUUAGAUUUGCAAACAUCCGUAAAUAAAGAAAAAAAUCUUAAAAGCAACUGUUUGGUAAAGAUCCGGAAAGAUUAAUAAUCUGUUUAAAAGAAAAGAAUAAGAGUUUGGAAAAAAAUAGUAAAAGAGUUAUAUUAAACUAAAGCAUCUGUAUCGCAUUGCCUAAAGAAGAGUUAGAAGGCACCUUAAUUUCCCUUAUCCGAAGGCUGACUUCAAAAAUCCCUUCCUAGGAUUCCUUCCUAGGAUCAAUACUUUCUGAGGUAAUUGGCAGAGAUAAUUUGCAGAAAUAAUUGGCACACGAAAUAAAUCUCAUAAUAAAACCUAUAUAUGUAUAUGUAUAUGUAUAUAUUU